RNAcentral lists this ribosomal RNA (492 nucleotides) under uncultured bacterium. Its description in RNAcentral is "partial 16S ribosomal RNA". It matches the Rfam family "Bacterial small subunit ribosomal RNA", at positions 29 to 507 of the family's 1533-position model. The record is from RNAcentral.
AGUGAACGCUGGCGGUAGGCCUAACACAUGCAAGUCGAACGGCAGCACAGUAAGAGCUUGCUCUUACGGGUGGCGAGUGGCGGACGGGUGAGGAAUACAUCGGAAUCUACUUUUUCGUGGGGGAUAACGUAGGGAAACUUACGCUAAUACCGCAUACGACCUACGGGUGAAAGCAGGGGAUCUUCGGACCUUGCGCGAUUGAAUGAGCCGAUGUCGGAUUAGCUAGUUGGCGGGGUAAAGGCCCACCAAGGCGACGAUCCGUAGCUGGUCUGAGAGGAUGAUCAGGCAGACUGGAACUGAGACACGGUCCAGACUCCUACGGGAGGCAGCAGUGGGGAAUAUUGGACAAAGGGCGCAAGCCUGAUCCAGCCAUACCGCGUGGGUGAAGAAGACCUUCGGGUUGUGAAGCCCUUUUGUUGGGAAAGAAAAGCAGCAGGUUAAUACCCCGCUGUUCUGACGGUACCCAAAGUAUAAGCACCGGCUAACUUCGUG